This 377-nucleotide long non-coding RNA is filed under the name Bos taurus (domestic cattle). RNAcentral describes it as "long non-coding RNA NONBTAT024716". Lineage: Eukaryota; Metazoa; Chordata; Mammalia; Artiodactyla; Bovidae. The record is from RNAcentral.
UUUUAUAGUUAUUUAUAUUGCUGCUUAUUAUUAAUUUUUUUCCUCUGUUGUCUCAAGAGUAUGUACUGACCGCAGAGACGUCUCACAUUGAAAGGAUCCCAGAUUGCUUUUAAAGUAGCCGAACGAAACACAAACCAUCUUCGAGUCUCCACCCUUGUUCCUCCAGAAUCCUCUCUUCUCGUGCUUAUAAUGUUAAGAAAAGGGCCAACCUAAUUCAGCAGCGCAAAGGUCACAGAAUGGGGCCUACCAUCAGAUGCAUUAAAAACGACAAGAGCGGUGACAAACCCAGUUCUCUAGCCUGAACUUGGCCUGACAGUUGUUUCCAUUUAUACAUUGUUCAUAGUUUCCCAAGCAUUUUUUUUCACAUACGGUGACAA